Molecule: ribosomal RNA, 1245 nt
Filed under: metagenome
Description: SSU rRNA
Rfam family: Eukaryotic small subunit ribosomal RNA
Source: RNAcentral
AGUCUGGUGCCAGCAGCCGCGGUAAUUCCAGCUCCAAUAGCGUAUAUUAAAGUUGUUGCAGUUAAAAAGCUCGUAGUUGGAUUUCUUUUAUGUGGGUAGGGUUUGGGUUCGUAUGUGUCUUUCAUGGCAUGUAUGGCCUUCCUCUUGCAUGAAACAUUUGUAUAUUUCUCCUAGCAAUAGGAAUCAGGAAUAUACAUCAUUUACUGUGAAAAAAUCAAAGCGUUCAAAGCAGGCUUUAUGCAAUGAAUGUCUCAGCAUGGAAUAAUAAUUUAAGCCAUUGUCUUAUUUUGUUGGUUUACAAGAUGAAGGAAUGUUUAAUAGGAUCAGUCGGGGAUAUCCGAACUUGGAAGUCAGAGGUGAAAUUCUUGGAUUUUCCAAAGUCGAACUACUGCGAAAGCAUUUAUCAAGGAUGUUUUCAUUAAUCAAGAACGAAAGUUUGGGGAUCGAAGAUGAUUAGAUACCAUCGUAGUCUAAACCAUAAACGAUGCCGAUUCGGGAUCGUCUUUUGAUAUAUCAUGUCAAAGGCGGCACCGUACGCGAAAGCAAAAUCUUUGGGUUCUGGGGGGAGUAUGAUCGCAAGGUUGAAACUUAAAGGAAUUGACGGAAGGGCACCAUCAGGCGUGGAGCCUGCGGCUCAAUUUGACCCAACUCGGGAAAACUUAGCAGGGCAGGACAAAAUAAGGAUUGACAGAUUGAGAGCUCUUUCUUGAUUCUUUGGGUGGUGGUGCAUGGCCGUUCUUAGUUGGUGGAGUGAUUUGUCUGGUUAAUUCCGUUAACGAACGAGACCUCAACCUAUUAAAUAGUAGAAGCAUUCUUACGGAUGUGGCAUACUUCUUAGAGGGACUUUUCGCUUUUAGCGGAAGGAAGUUUGAGGCAAUAACAGGUCUGUGAUGCCCUUAGAUGUCCUGCGCCGCACGCGCGCUACAAUGACCAGUUCAAUCGGUACUUCCUUGGUCGAGAGGCCUGGGUAAUCCUAGAACUCUGGUCGUGAUGGGGCUAGAUUAUUGCAAUUAUUAAUCUUCAACGAGGAAUGCCUAGUAAACGCAAGUCAUCAUCUUGCAUUGAAUACAUCCCUGCCCUUUGUACACACCGCCCGUCGCAUCUACCGAUGAAUUUUGCGGUGAAGUCUUGGGAGCCUUUUAAAUUUGCCUUUACGGGUAGGUUUUGAGGGUGAACUUGCAUAAACCUUAACAUUUAGAGGAAGAUGAAGUCGUAACAAGGUUUCCGUAGGUGAACCUGCGGAAG